This 266-nucleotide ribosomal RNA is filed under the name uncultured bacterium. RNAcentral describes it as "partial 16S ribosomal RNA". It matches the Rfam family "Bacterial small subunit ribosomal RNA", at positions 57 to 305 of the family's 1533-position model. The record is from RNAcentral.
GCAAGUCGAACGGAAACAGGACGCUGUGAUCUCUUCGGAGUGAACUUGUCGCUGUCGAGUGGCGGACGGGUGAGUAAUGCAUAGGAAUUUGCCUUGGAGUGGGGGAUAGCCCGGAGAAAUCCGGAUUAAUACCGCAUGCGCUCUACGGAGCAAAGCGGGCCUCUGAUUUAAGCUCGCGCUUUGAGAUAAGCCUAUGUCGGAUUAGCUUGUUGGUAGGGUAAUGGCCUACCAAGGCGACGAUCCGUAGCUGGUUUGAGAGGAUGAUC